AAUAGAUACCCCGGUAGUCCACGCUGUAAACUAUGAUCACUCGCUGCUGGCGAUAUAAUGUCAGUGGCCAAGCGAAAGCGUUAAGUGAUCCACCUGGGGAGUACGCCGGCAACGGUGAAACUCAAAGGAAUUGACGGGGGCCCGCACAAGCGGUGGAGCAUGUGGUUUAAUUCGAUGAUACGCGAGGAACCUUACCAGGGCUUAAAUGCAGAACGACAUUCUGGGAAACUAGAACUUCUUCGGACGGUUUGCAAGGUGCUGCAUGGUUGUCGUCAGCUCGUGCCGUGAGGUGUCGGGUUAAGUCCCAUAACGAGCGCAACCCCUAUUCUUAGUUGCCAGCGGGUAAUGCCGGGGACUCUAAGAAAACUGCCAGCGCAAGCUGUGAGGAAGGUGGGGAUGACGUCAAAUCAUCACGGCCCUUACGUCCUGGGCUACACACGUGCUACAAUGGUGAGUACAGAGGGCAGCCACUCGGCGACGAGGAGCUAAUCCUUAAAACUCAUCUCAGUUCGGAUCGUAGUCUGA
Molecule: ribosomal RNA, 525 nt
Filed under: uncultured bacterium
Lineage: Bacteria
Description: bacterial SSU rRNA
Rfam family: Bacterial small subunit ribosomal RNA
Source: RNAcentral